RNAcentral lists this ribosomal RNA (442 nucleotides) under uncultured bacterium. RNAcentral describes it as "partial 16S ribosomal RNA". It matches the Rfam family "Bacterial small subunit ribosomal RNA", at positions 339 to 795 of the family's 1533-position model. The record is from RNAcentral.
CUACGGGCGGCUGCAGUGGGGAAUAUUGGGCAAUGGGCGAAAGCCUGACCCAGCAACGCCGCGUGAUUGAAGAAGGUCUUCGGAUUGUAAAAAUCUGUCCUUGGGGACGAAAAAAAUGACGGUACCCAAGGAGGAAGCCCCGGCUAACUACGUGCCAGCAGCCGCGGUAAUACGUAGGGGGCGAGCGUUGUCCGGAAUUGCUGGGCGUAAAGGGUGCGCAGGCGGCGCUUUAAGUCAGAUGUGAAAUACCCAGGCUUAACCUGGGGGGUGCAUUUGAAACUGGAGUGCUUGAGUGCAGGAGAGGAAAGUGGAAUUCCUAGUGUAGCGGUGAAAUGCGUAGAUAUUAGGAGGAACACCAGUGGCGAAGGCGACUUUCUGGACUGUAACUGACGCUGAGGCACGAAAGCGUGGGGAGCAAACAGGAUUAGAUACCCGAGUAGUC